AAUCUUCCGCAAUGGACGCAAGUCUGACGGAGCAACGCCGCGUGAGUGAUGAAGGUUUUCGGAUCGUAAAACUCUGUUGUUAGGGAAGAACAAGUACCGUUCGAAUAGGUCGGUACCUUGACGGUAACUAACCAUAAGUCCGCGGCUAACUACGUGCCAGCAGCCGCGGUAAUACGUAGGUGGCAAGCGUUAUCCGGAAUUAUUGGGCGUAAAGCGCGCGCAGGCGGUUUCUUAAGUCUGAUGUGAAAGCCCACGGCUCAACCGUGGAGGGUCAUUGGAAACUGGGGAACUUGAGUGCAGAAGAGGAGAGUGGAAUUCCAUGUGCAGCGGUGAAAUGCGUAGAGAUAUGGAGGAACACCAGUGGCGAAGGCGACUCUCUGGUCUGCAACUGACGCUGAGGCGCGAAAGCGUGGGGAGCAAACA
Molecule: ribosomal RNA, 423 nt
Filed under: uncultured bacterium
Lineage: Bacteria
Description: partial 16S ribosomal RNA
Rfam family: Bacterial small subunit ribosomal RNA
Source: RNAcentral